RNAcentral lists this ribosomal RNA (697 nucleotides) under uncultured Bacilli bacterium. Its description in RNAcentral is "bacterial SSU rRNA". It matches the Rfam family "Bacterial small subunit ribosomal RNA", at positions 51 to 729 of the family's 1533-position model. The record is from RNAcentral. Lineage: Bacteria; Bacillati; Bacillota; Bacilli.
AUACAUGCAAGUCGAGCGGACCGACGGGAGCUUGCUCCCUUAGGUCAGCGGCGGACGGGUGAGUAACACGUGGGUAACCUGCCUGUAAGACUGGGAUAACUCCGGGAAACCGGGGCUAAUACCGGAUGCUUGAUUGAACCGCAUGGUUCAAUCAUAAAGGGUGGCUUUCAGCUACCACUUACAGAUGGACCCGCGGCGCAUUAGCUAGUUGGUGAGGUAACGGCUCACCAAGGCGACGAUGCGUAGCCGACCUGAGAGGGUGAUCGGCCACACUGGGACUGAGACACGGCCCAGACUCCUACGGGAGGCAGCAGUAGGGAAUCUUCCGCAAUGGACGAAAGUCUGACGGAGCAACGCCGCGUGAGUGAUGAAGGUUUUCGGAUCGUAAAACUCUGUUGUUAGGGAAGAACAAGUACCGUUCGAAUAGGGCGGCACCUUGACGGUACCUAACCAGAAAGCCACGGCUAACUACGUGCCAGCAGCCGCGGUAAUACGUAGGUGGCAAGCGUUGUCCGGAAUUAUUGGGCGUAAAGCGCGCGCAGGCGGUUUCUUAAGUCUGAUGUGAAAGCCCCCGGCUCAACCGGGGAGGGUCAUUGGAAACUGGGGAACUUGAGUGCAGAAGAGGAGAGUGGAAUUCCACGUGUAGCGGUGAAAUGCGUAGAGAUGUGGAGGAACACCAGUGGCGAAGGCGACUCUC